AUGGUGGUGGCUGACCAAGGGCAAGAGAUGGUGGUGGCUGACCAUGGGCAAGAGAUGGUGGUGGCUGACCAUGGGCAAGAGAUGGUGGUGGCUGAGGAUGACCUAGCGAUGGUCGUGCCCGUCCUGCCUGAAGGUGGCCUCGCGAUGGUGGUGGUGCCUGACAAUGACCACGCACCGGUGGUGGCGCCGGCGAUCCCACAGCUGGGCGACAUGACCACGCCAAUUGUGGUAGAAGACUACAUCCCACAGCUACCUCCACCGCCUCGCCGCUCUUGGCGCAUCAGGCUGAGGAAGGAGAAGGAGAAGAACAAUGAGAACUGA
RNAcentral lists this ribosomal RNA (321 nucleotides) under Triticum aestivum (bread wheat). Its description in RNAcentral is "partial small subunit ribosomal RNA". Lineage: Eukaryota; Viridiplantae; Streptophyta; Magnoliopsida; Poales; Poaceae. The record is from RNAcentral.